Molecule: ribosomal RNA, 460 nt
Filed under: uncultured bacterium
Lineage: Bacteria
Description: partial 16S ribosomal RNA
Rfam family: Bacterial small subunit ribosomal RNA
Source: RNAcentral
CCUACGGGUGGCAGCAGUGAGGAAUAUUGGUCAAUGGGCGCGAGCCUGAACCAGCCAAGUAGCGUGAAGGAUGACUGCCCUACGGGUUGUAAACUUCUUUUAUAAAGGAAUAAAGUGCGGCACGUGUGCCCUUUUGUAUGUACCUUAUGAAUAAGGAUCGGCUAACUCCGUGCCAGCAGCCGCGGUAAUCCGGAGGUUCCGAGCGUUAUCCGGAUUUAUUGGGUUUAAAGGGUGCGUAGAUGGGUUGUUAAGUCAGUUGUGAAAGUUUUCGGCUCAACCGUAAAAUUGCAAUUGAAACUGGCAGCCUAGAGUACAGUUGAGGUAGGCGGAAUUCGUGGUGUAGCGGUGAAAUGCUUAGAUAUCACGAAGAACUCCGAUUGCGAAGGCAGCAUACUAAACUGCCACUGACAUUGAUGCUCGAAAGUGUGGGUAUCAAACAGGAUUAGAUACCCGAGUAGUC